RNAcentral lists this long non-coding RNA (1274 nucleotides) under Lonchura striata (white-rumped munia). Its description in RNAcentral is "domestica (Bengalese finch) lncRNA (ENSLSDG00000001835.1)". The record is from RNAcentral. Lineage: Eukaryota; Metazoa; Chordata; Aves; Passeriformes; Estrildidae.
AGGGUGGGGGAGAAGGUUGGGAAUGGGUGCGGAGUUGGGUUGGGAGUUUCUCGGAAAGGCACUGGGAAUGAAAAGUGGGAAUGCGGGGUUAGGGCGCUGGGAGCUGUGGGGAAAUUAUGGGAGAAGGUGGGGGAGAAGGUUGGGAAUGGGUGCGGAGUUGGGUUGGGAGUUCCUUGGAAGGGCACCAGGAAAGAAACGGGAAGAUGAGAUUAGGUGGGAAUUGAAACUCCAAAAAAGAUGGGAAUAUGGGAUUGGGUGUUGGGAAUGUAGCUGUGGGAAAAGAUGAAGAGAAGGUUGGGAAUGGGUGUGAUGUUGGGUUGGGAGUUUCCCGGAAAGGCACUGGGAAUGAGAAGCGGCAAUGCGGGCUAGGGUGCUGGGAGCUGUGGAGAAAUGAUGGAAGAGGGUGGGGGAGAAGGUUGGGAAUGGGUGCGGAGUUGGGUUGGGAAGAAGGACAUGAGUUUGUCGGAAAGAUGCUGGGAAAAAAUGGGAAUAUUUGAUUAAGUGGGAAUUGAAGGCCCAAAAAAUAUGGGAAUAUGGGAUUAGGUGGGAAUUGAAGGCCCAAAAAAGAUGGGAAUAUGGGACUAGGUGUUGGGAAUGUAGUGGUGGGAAAAGAUGGAAGAGAAGGUUGGGAAUGGGUGUGGAGUUGGAUUGGGAAGAAGGACGGGAGUUUGUCGGAAAGAUGCCUGGAAAAUAAUGGGAAUAUUUGAUUAAGUGGGAAUCUAAACCUCAAGAAAUAUGGGAAUAUGGGAUUAGGUGGGAAUCUAAGGCCCAAAAAAUAUGGGAAUAUGGGAUUAGGUGGGAAUUGAAGGCCCAAAAAACAUGGGAAUAUGAGAUUAGGUGUUGGGAAUGCGGUUGUGGGAAAAGAUGGAAGAGGGUGGGGGGGAAGGUUGGGAAUGGAUGUGGAGUUGGGUUGGGAAGAAGGGAAUGUUCUCCAUCUGCUCCCAACACCACGCUGAUAAAGGGACGGAAAAGUGGGAUUAGAUGUUGGAAGCAUGGAAGAGGGUGGAGGAGAAGGUUGGGAAUGGGUGUGGAGUUGGAUUGGGAAGAAGGUUAGGAGUUUCUUGGAAAGGCACUGGGGAAAAAAUGGGAAAAUGGGAUUAGGUGGGAAUCCAAACCCUAAAGAAUGUGGGAAUAUGGGAUUAGGUGUUGGGAGUGUGGUUGUGGGGAAAGAUGGAAGAGGGUGGGGGAGAAGAAGGGUUGGGAAUUCCUGCGGAGCUGGCUUGGGAAGAAGGGAAUGGUCUCCAUCUACUCCCAGCUCCUCUCCCAGCACUGGG